CUGAAACCAUUUCAUGCUGACUGAUAACCCUUCUCUUUCUUCAGUAUCUAAUAUAUCAGGAUGGUUGUGUUCUGGACACAGAAAUAACUGGUAUAACUACUGAAAACCAGACUCCUUUAUGCCUACCUUUGUGCUUCCAUCCCAGUAGCCUUGGUCCACAAGAAAAAGAACUGCAUGAAUGGUGGUGAAAUCUUUGCUCCUUGUGUGGGAUAAUAAGAAUGUAAUGCUAAGAAGUGAUAAAUAUUUCAUCUCGCAGUGAACAAACAAAAACUCCAGGAAGGUCUCACAGUCAGCCUAGAUGUGUUUUCCAAUUCUGUAUUGAGACUGCCACUUCAGUCUUUGAAGAAGCUGACCUAUUCAACCUAGUUAGUGUAAUACUCUGAUUCAUUCGACUUACAGUAUUACAGGUCUGCUAUUACAGUGGAGGGAUUUUGUUUCCCUGACCCCUGCCUAGAAGUUCAGGAACAUGAGAGAUGUGUGAAGCCUGACUGCCAGCAAAGGCUAAGGCUUCCAGCCAGCCAUGGGAUGUGAAAGCAGCUGUGGGAGAGCAACUUGCAGUGACAUUUUUUAACCAUCCCUGGAGAACUGCGUCCAGUUCUGGAGCACCCAAUACAAGAAGGACAUGGAGUUGUUGGAGCAGGUCCAGAGAAGGACCAUGAAGAUAACCAGAGGGCUGGAGCACCUCCCUGUGAGGACAGGCUGACAGAGUUGGAGUUGUUCAUCCUGGAGAAGACCACUUGAAAUGGCCUUCCCGUACCUGAAGGGGAGCUGCAGGAAAGCUGGGAAGGGACUUUUUUAAGGGCAUGUAGUGUCAGGACAAGAAGAAAUGGUUUUAAACUGGAAGAGAGUAGAUUUAGACUAGAUAUUAGGAAGAAAUUCUUUACUUUGAGGGUGAUGAGACACUGGAACAGGUUGUCCAGUGAGGCUAUGGAUGCUUUGUCCCUGGAAGCAUUCAAGGCCAGGCUGGACUUGUCUUAGAGCAACCUGGUCUAAAGGGAGCUGUCCUUUCAACACAAACCAUUUUAUGAUUCUAUUAUGCUAUGAUUCUAUGAACUGAAAACAACUUUGAAACAUUUUAAGCAUUGUUAAUGCCUGUGGUUACGGCAGUUUCAGUAGUUUUUACUACCAAAAAUUUAUCCCUAAAUGGGCUGGAAGUAGCUGGUGCCCCAGAAAAGAUAAGUCGGAAGAAGAAGAAGAAAGUAUAUUUUAAUUUUAUGCUGGUCGUAGGUAGAGGGAUAGUUAAGAAUAAAUUGUAAAUAGUGUAAUAGUACCCUGUGAAUGCUGUAACCUAACCAAUAGAUAAGAUUUGCAGAAGCUCAUAGCCUUUCAAAUUAAAGACUUCAGCACUGCAUAAAACUGGAGCCUUAACCUCCAGUUUUUGUGACAUUUUUACAACUGUUUUGUUUGCAUGUCCUUAUUCCUUUAAUCUCCCAUUAUCUUCCUCCUACCCAAAGCAAACUUGUAGAAGACCAUCCUCCAUGUUUACAUACCAGUAGUAUCUGAUGCCCUGGAAGUUCUUGCUCCCCAGGAUUUGAAAAUAUAUAAUUUGAGGAAUAAUACAACACCACGACAGAAACUCCAAGAAAU
Gallus gallus (chicken) is the source of this 1587-nucleotide long non-coding RNA. The record is from Ensembl. NCBI's taxonomy places the organism in Eukaryota, Metazoa, Chordata, Aves, Galliformes, Phasianidae.